Non-coding RNA from Vicia faba (fava bean), 345 nucleotides. The record is from the annotation of a GenBank genome assembly. Lineage: Eukaryota; Viridiplantae; Streptophyta; Magnoliopsida; Fabales; Fabaceae.
ACGAUUUCUAUACACGGUAUCCCAUGCAGUGCACAAAAAAUAUUUCACCAAAUUUUAACUUUCAAAUUUCAAAACCAUUUCACUGUUACAUUUCAAAAGAAUCACACUUUUCUUGCUCUUUCUCACUACAAAAUCAGAAUUACAAGAUCAAUCUCAUCCAUCAAUUUCCAAGCUUAUCAAUGGUCAAGAAUUCCUGUAAGGAAAUUACACGAACUCCUCCUCAAAAUGGCUCCAAUUUUGCCUCAAAAAUUUCAUCAAGGCACACUAUAUAAAGAGUACUUCAGAACCAAAGAGAGGGGGGAAAAAAUUAGUAGAAGGAAAGGAGAAGUCAUGCUAUCAAAGUGA